Molecule: ribosomal RNA, 433 nt
Filed under: uncultured bacterium
Lineage: Bacteria
Description: partial 16S ribosomal RNA
Rfam family: Bacterial small subunit ribosomal RNA
Source: RNAcentral
AGCGAACGCUGGCGGCAGGCCUAACACAUGCAAGUCGAACGAACUCUUCGGAGUUAGUGGCGGACGGGUGAGUAACACGUGGGAACGUGCCUUUAGGUUCGGAAUAACUCAGGGAAACUUGUGCUAAUACCGAAUGUGCCCUUCGGGGGAAAGAGUUAUCGCCUUUAGAGCGGCCCGCGUCUGAUUAGCUAGUUGGUGAGGUAAAGGCUCACCAAGGCGACGAUCAGUAGCUGGUCUGAGAGGAUGAUCAGCCACAUUGGGACUGAGACCCGGCCCAAACUCCUACGGGAGGCAGCAGUGGGGAAUCUUGCGCAAUGGGCGAAAGCCUGACGCAGCCAUGCCGCGUGAAUGAUGAAGGUCUUAGGAUUGUAAAAUUCUUUCACCGGGGACGAUAAUGACGGUACCCGGAGAAGAAGCCCCGGCUAACUUCGUG